CAGAGGACCAGGCUGAUACCUGGACCGUGGUGGGGGUGGUCUGGGGGCCAGGAGGGACCCUUCUGCCCUCCAGUGUCCUUGUUCUGAUUUUGUAGAUGAAGAAAGAGAGAGGCUGGGAGGAUUAUUUGCAAACAACCAAGAGCUGUGGGAGGGGCCUGAUGGCUCACUGUGACUCCGAUGUUGACGAGCGUGACAAAUGGAAUGGGUCGAACUUUACGGACUGCGCACAGUGUGCCAGGCACUGGAAAGAAGGUGUUAAUCUUGGGUAAAUGCAAUUCUCAUGGCGGACAUUGUAGAUCUGCCUCUUCUUUAUGACAAUUGUCUGGGAGAUGGCAACCGUGUCUUGAGGGAGGGCUGCCAUCUUCUAUCGUGGAUAAAGACAUCGUGUGGGCAUUCUUAAGUCUACUUGGACACCCCCUUUCCUCAUGCAUGUACCCUGCUAUGGAUCUGUCUACAAAUGUGGAUAUGUCUCCACUGUCGUAGAAAUGCACCAGAGCUUUGGUCUUUCCUUUUGGAGGGGGAAAUGCUGGAGGAGUGAACAAAGAGAGGAAGGUGGAGGGACUGUGUGUCCUUUAUUCUUCAUCCAGUUUUGAGGACUCUGAACUCUGGUCACAGGGCAGAUGGCCAAAGCAGAUAAAACCGCUCAAUAAAUGAAGCAGUGAGCGAGGGGAGGCGUGGUCAGUGAACUGCCUCAGGGCCCAGGGACAAGAGUCUGGGAGAGGAGCCCUUCUUCUCUCUGCAUGGCACCCUGUUCUCUUCUGGCCCCUGCGAACCGUAGGCCUUGGAAGCAGGCAUUGGCUGCCACCUUGGCAGAAACUCAAACUGGCCAAGGAUGGGUGCUGCCAGAGAGGCUCUCUGCAGCUUCGGGAGCAAGAGACAUGGAGUGGCGAGCCGCUGGGAUGACAGAUGUUAACUGGAGGUUGAGACCACCACUUCAUUCUUCGUAUCUACAAACAUCAUAGACUUUGGAAACAACCACCAAGAAAAAGCUGGGAGACCUGUGGAGGAAGCCGAGAGCCUGCUGUUCUUCCCUCCCCUCGUACUUAGGGAGCACUGGAGAAAAUGCUGCUGGCUGUUGUAUCCAGGAAGCUUCUCUUAGAGAAUCCAAGUCCCCUCUUGGCCAGCCAAUGAGGACAGGAGCCGGAAUUCAAGCCCAAGCAGAAAGAGCCAUGCUUUUUAUGGCUGCUGCCUCUCCAUUGCUGAAAAGCUCCUCAUCUGUGAGAACCUUCUCCUUCUAUCCUCAUAGUACCUCGUGGUACUCUCCACGCCUGCCAAGAACUUUCUGACCUCCCAGGGAUUUACUUCACUCUGCAAUCAUCCUUCCCACUCGCUGAAACGCCCACCUGUCGGGGCUUUCUAGGGGAUGCUAAUGCCUCUGGGUUAAGGAUCUUAUCUCAAUUUAUUGGGAGACCUCCAGGGAUCCAGAGAUCCAGUCCCAUUAAGCUUGCACAUUUAUUUAAUUAAAAACAAAUCCAAAUGCUGAGGCUUGGGAAACUGCCUGCCGGGUAACACUGAUCUAUAAAUCCCACUUCCUGCUGCUUCCAGGUGGACUGUGAAUACCCUGAAAAUUCAGAUUCACUGGAAAUGUUUUGACCAUUCUGCUUCUGGCUCAAUGGGUUGCAAGAAAUAAAAAUGAAAAGUGGUGGGAGAAAAA
Molecule: long non-coding RNA, 1654 nt
Organism: Mustela lutreola (European mink)
Lineage: Eukaryota; Metazoa; Chordata; Mammalia; Carnivora; Mustelidae
Exons: 2
Source: RefSeq, a predicted model, not a curated record